UAGUCGAUUAUUGCUUUGGCUUCGG
This 25-nucleotide non-coding RNA is filed under the name Drosophila melanogaster (fruit fly). The record is from RNAcentral. Lineage: Eukaryota; Metazoa; Arthropoda; Insecta; Diptera; Drosophilidae.